Molecule: ribosomal RNA, 253 nt
Filed under: uncultured bacterium
Lineage: Bacteria
Description: partial 16S ribosomal RNA
Rfam family: Bacterial small subunit ribosomal RNA
Source: RNAcentral
UACGGGGGGGGCAAGCGUUGUUCGGAAUUACUGGGCGUAAAGGGCUCGUAGGCGGCCGACUAAGUCAGGCGUGAAAUCCCUCAGCUUAACUGGGGAACUGCGUCUGAUACUGGUCGGCUUGAGUGCAGGAGAGGAACGCGGAAUUCCAGGUGUAGCGGUGAAAUGCGUAGAUAUCUGGAGGAACACAGGUGGCGAAGGCGGCGUUCUGGACUGCAACUGACACUGAUGAACGAAAGCCAGGGGAGCAAACAGG